Long non-coding RNA from Gallus gallus (chicken), 1781 nucleotides. The record is from Ensembl. Lineage: Eukaryota; Metazoa; Chordata; Aves; Galliformes; Phasianidae.
GGUUCUUUCAGUUGGAAAGAUUAGUAUGGAACUAUCAAAGUCCUAUGAAAUAAUGACAAAAAUAGGCAGACUCGAGUGAAUUUACUUGAAUAUUACUUUCAGGGGGGAUGCUGAGUUGCCUGCAGAUCCGCAGGGCAGAAUCCAGCUGAUGACACGGAGAGGAUGAGCUGCCUGGUUGCACGGUCACGAUUUGGAGAGGUCAUCACUUGACUUCAAUGUCAUGUUUUGUUCCUGGUGUUCCCAGUGAAGACAGUCAAAAGCAAAUAAAAUCUUGUAUCGCCUCAGUAGAGAGUGAGGAAAAGUUUUUGGAUUCUGCAGCAGAAAUGGAUUCUAGAAAUGGAUCCUAGAGAGGUGAUUUCAAGGGUCGCCAUUUUUAGCUGCUCAGCUUGAAUCACUGUGCAGAGGAAAACACCUCUGUCACGUCCGGGCUGUUUCUAUAACUCCAGAAAAUCUCUACAAUCAUCGUCCCCUCUGCAGAAAAGGUCUUUGAGAUAACAAAGAGAACACACUCUUUGAACAAGAUAGCAUGAAGAGCACUGGGAAAGCUUUUCAUACAGCCAGCAGGUUUGUGGCAGGGAGAGGCCCCCUUCCAGACACCAAGAGCUGCAGACACAGCGACAUCUUCAGUGCCACCAUACGCAGAGCCAGACUGUGGGGAGGGAGAGCUGCUGUUAGGACAGGUCAGCGGCCUUCAUUUGCAAUGCAAAACCAACCAGAAUUGUUUCUUCAAUCUGAUAGUGCAGAUUACACAGCAGUUUUGACCCUCGUAUAAAGCACUUUCUUCUUGAUCUGUUGACUGAGCCGGUCUUAAACUUUCCCAGGAGGGCACGCUGAUGGAAACAGGAUGCGAUAACCUCAAAAACUCGGAGAUGUAAUGAAUCGGGAUAUUGAGCAAGGAACCGCUCACCAACUGGAGCUGCUUGAGUCACUCUCCAGAUGUACCUAGAGCAUCCCUACCAUCUUCUGUGCAAGUUCCCGGGGCAGGUUGGACCCGAUGGCUUGUUUCUCACAGAAAGAGCAUUGCAGGAGCUCUUGUGGAGAUGUUUUCAGUCUAAUAGCAGAGGUUGGAGCAGUUUGACAUUUCUUGAGUUGGGUGGGAUGAAUGAUAUUUCAUUAAUCACUGCUUUUGGAGUUACAUCACUGUCUAUGAAAUUGAAAAACAAAGUAUGACACGUAGUUUGAAAGGUUUUACCAUGGAAUUACGUAACUCUUCUGUGGUAGGGGAGUGGAACAGGCCAUCCUCCUGGGUUAGUCCAGUGUGGCUUUCUGUGCUACCUAAUGUCUUUUUCAUGUGAGAGUGGAUGUGUCUAAGCAGCACUGAAAAUUACACAACUGCUAAAUUGUGUCAUUGCUUUCCAUGGUCCCAAGAAAAUACUUUUAUUUUUCAUGUUAGAAAUCAGACACAGAACUACGAGAACCAGGCCUGUUAAAAUGGCAGUGACAUUUUUAAUAACCAACACCGGGGACUUUUUAAAUGAGCGGUGUUUGCAAGUGGAAAAUACCUAGCAACACGUCGCGAAUUUCCAUCGUCUUCCUGUGCUACAAGGAAGAAAAAUGCCAUUUUCAAAUGUGACCUUUUCCCCUCUUGUCCAUGGCACAAAUACAAUAAAAUAAAUACCCAAAGAACGGAUGAAUUAUUUGAAGGAUCCAAGCUAUGCAGCACUGGGUACCUGGGUCCAGCUGGCUGCCCUUUGCAGCAGGGGGUCCUCAUGCAUGUGGGCUGUUGUGGAAGGAGCAGUUCUGUAAGCAGAACAAGAAGACAGAACCCUGCAGCAGAUGCU